Molecule: long non-coding RNA, 351 nt
Filed under: Medicago truncatula (barrel medic)
Lineage: Eukaryota; Viridiplantae; Streptophyta; Magnoliopsida; Fabales; Fabaceae
Description: long non-coding RNA (MTRU_LNC005967)
Source: RNAcentral
UAAAGUUUGAAAUCUUGAGUACAUUUCUUCUAUACUCUCAUCAUCCUUCAUUCUGAAAAGUUCAUACUGAUGAACUAGCAUCAAAGCUUUAGCCUCUUUUACUUUCUUGCUGCCUUCAAAGUUUGCACAUAGAGAAGCAAACAUGGCCUUCGCAGUAGAUUUGUCACUCAUUUUCAUGUAUUCGGUGCGAGGUAUAGAAGCCACGAUGAUUCCUCUUAUCUUGUGAUGUUUCUUAUAAAGCUUCUUCUGAGCAGGAGUAUGUAUUCUUCUGUCUAUAGCAGCUCCUUCUUCAUCCAAAUCCAGAUCAUCAACUCCAUCUUCCAGUAUAUCCCAUAGCUCUUCAUCCAAUCC